This is a non-coding RNA of Camellia sinensis, 617 nucleotides long. NCBI's taxonomy places the organism in Eukaryota, Viridiplantae, Streptophyta, Magnoliopsida, Ericales, Theaceae. The record is from RefSeq and is a predicted model, not a curated record.
UUCCCUUCUUUAAUUUGCUUUUCCCCUUUUUUUGCAUCUUUGUGCUUUUGUGUAUCUGGGACAGCAUCUUUUUUUUGGGUAGGCAUGGGACAGCAUCUUAAGCUUGCUUUCAUUGCAGGUACCUGAAUCAUAAUCAAUUUACUGGGAGAAUCCCGGAUGCAUUCUAUAAGUACACUUUCUUGAAAGAAAUGUAUAUUGAAGGAAAUGCUUUCCGGCCAGGUGUGAACCCUAUUGGCGUCCACAAUGUCCUCGAAGUUUCUGACACAGAGUUCUUGUUUUAGUCAAAGCUUCCACAUAUUAUUUACUCGUAGAAUUGUUUCUUUUUGUUCUUGCUAAAACUAGGGUGUUUCAGUUUGAAUUGGAAUGUAGUUCUAUAAAUAGGAUGUAUAUAAUGUACACUAGUGUUUUGGGAAAUUUAAGAAAUUUUGGAAGUAGGUUGUUUGACAGUUUAGAAAGGUGUUGUUGGAUUCUUUGGUUGUCAUUAUUUUGUGUGAACAAUGUCUGGUGGAACACCAUGGUGGGGAUGUCUGGUUGUUUCAGUUUGAAUUGGAACAAUGUCUGGUUGUUUGACAGAAAUUUAAUAAAUCGAAUGUUAAUGAAUUAUGUAUUGUGUCGAA